UACGGAAUGUGCAAACGUUAUUCGGAAUCACUGGGCUUAAAGAGUCCGUAGGCGGCAUGUUAGGUGAGGUGUGAAAUCCCCCGGCUCAACCGAGGAAUUGCGCUUCAAACCGGCGUGCUCGAGGAAGAUAGAGGUGGGCGGAACUGAUGGUGGAGCGGUGAAAUGCGUUGAUAUCAUCAGGAACACCGGAGGCGAAGGCGGCCCACUGGGUCUUUUCUGACGCUGAGGGACGAAAGCCAGGGGAGCGAACGGG
RNAcentral lists this ribosomal RNA (253 nucleotides) under uncultured bacterium. Its description in RNAcentral is "partial 16S ribosomal RNA". It matches the Rfam family "Bacterial small subunit ribosomal RNA", at positions 524 to 776 of the family's 1533-position model. The record is from RNAcentral.